ACGGAAGGCAGCAGUGGGGAAUAUUGGACAAUGGGGGAAACCCUGAUCCAGCGACGCCGCGUGAGUGAAGAAGUAUUUCGGUAUGUAAAGCUCUAUCAGCAGGGAAGAUAAUGACGGUACCUGACUAAGAAGCCCCGGCUAACUACGUGCCAGCAGCCGCGGUAAUACGUAGGGGGCAAGCGUUAUCCGGAUUUACUGGGUGUAAAGGGAGCGUAGGCGGUGAUGCAAGUCAGAAGUGAAAACCCGGGGCUCAACCCCGUGGAUUGCUUUUGAGACUGUGUUGCUGGAGUACAGGAGGGGCAGGCGGAAUUCCUGGUGUAGCGGUGAAAUGCGUAGAUAUCAGGAGGAACACCGGUGGCGAAGGCGGCCUGCUGGACUGUAACUGACGCUGAGGCUCGAAGGCGUGGGGAGCAAACAGGAUUAGAUACCCUGGUA
RNAcentral lists this ribosomal RNA (435 nucleotides) under uncultured Lachnospiraceae bacterium. RNAcentral describes it as "bacterial SSU rRNA". It matches the Rfam family "Bacterial small subunit ribosomal RNA", at positions 341 to 792 of the family's 1533-position model. Lineage: Bacteria; Bacillati; Bacillota; Clostridia; Lachnospirales; Lachnospiraceae. The record is from RNAcentral.